GUCACUUAAAACGCGCUCAAUAUUUGAUGGCCCGAAGACAAAAUUGAGCCACCUCCGCAAUGCAAAUGAAAAAGAGAUAUGCCAUGGUACACACCGUGACAUGAGUUUAAAAGUCAGUUAUCUGACUACGGCAAAGUUAAAAGAAAACCUAAAUUCAAAGAUUUUGGAGAAAAUUUUUGCUAAAGCCAAAAUGAUGCGAAACCGAAACGCACUGUUCACAUACUUCACUUACAAUAUGGAACACCUCCCCCAUACCAUCGAUUCCCUUCCCAGGGAAGCUAAGGAAAAAACCUCUAAACGAUCUUCGAGCGAACAACGUGAACGCAUUAUAAAAAUGUUUUACGAUGCUGAACCCAAAACGGGAGAGUAGAAAAACAAAGCAACAGAAUAAAUGCUGAAAAGCGA
Long non-coding RNA from Drosophila eugracilis, 405 nucleotides. RefSeq lists it as uncharacterized. Lineage: Eukaryota; Metazoa; Arthropoda; Insecta; Diptera; Drosophilidae. The transcript is spliced from 2 exons. The record is from RefSeq and is a predicted model, not a curated record.